GACGAACGCUGGCGGCGUGCUUAACACAUGCAAGUCGAGCGGUAAGGCCUUUCGGGGUACACGAGCGGCGAACGGGUGAGUAACACGUGGGUGAUCUGCCCUGCACUUCGGGAUAAGCCUGGGAAACUGGGUCUAAUACCGGAUAUGACCUCCUAUCGCAUGGUGGGUGGUGGAAAGAUUUAUCGGUGCAGGAUGGGCCCGCGGCCUAUCAGCUUGUUGGUGGGGUAAUGGCCUACCAAGGCGACGACGGGUAGCCGACCUGAGAGGGUGACCGGCCACACUGGGACUGAGACACGGCCCAGACUCCUACGGGAGGCAGCAGUGGGGAAUAUUGCACAAUGGGCGAAAGCCUGAUGCAGCGACGCCGCGUGAGGGAUGACGGCCUUCGGGUUGUAAACCUCUUUCAGCAGGGACGAAGCGCAAAUGACGGUACCUGCAGAAGAAGCACCGGCUAACUACGUG
RNAcentral lists this ribosomal RNA (462 nucleotides) under uncultured bacterium. RNAcentral describes it as "partial 16S ribosomal RNA". It matches the Rfam family "Bacterial small subunit ribosomal RNA", at positions 28 to 507 of the family's 1533-position model. The record is from RNAcentral.